UAGUACAACCGAGGUGCGGAGGGCUGUCGCUGACUUUUUGUCGUGCACGCCCGAAGCGCUCUCACACAAUAUCCAUCUCACCCAUUUGUGUAUCAUCGCGUGGGUCCUGCUUUUUGGCUUGUUCCGAGGAGGGGGGCUCGCGUUUUCACACAAAAACACCCUUUUAAUGCAGUGUAGAAUGUUCUUGCGAUGACUCGCAAUAAAUA
Molecule: unclassified non-coding RNA, 206 nt
Filed under: uncultured Russulaceae
Lineage: Eukaryota; Fungi; Basidiomycota; Agaricomycetes; Russulales; Russulaceae
Description: sequence contains ITS1
Source: RNAcentral